UGGGGAAUUUUGGACAAUGGGCGAAAGCCUGAUCCAGCAAUGCCGCGUGUGUGAAGAAGGCCUUCGGGUUGUAAAGCACUUUUGUCCGGAAAGAAAUCCUUGGCUCUAAUACAGUCGGGGGAUGACGGUACCGGAAGAAUAAGCACCGGCUAACUACGUGCCAGCAGCCGCGGUAAUACGUAGGGUGCAAGCGUUAAUCGGAAUUACUGGGCGUAAAGCGUGCGCAGGCGGUUUGCUAAGACCGAUGUGAAAUCCCCGGGCUCAACCUGGGAACUGCAUUGGUGACUGGCAGGCUAGAGUAUGGCAGAGGGGGGUAGAAUUCCACGUGUAGCAGUGAAAUGCGUAGAGAUGUGGAGGAAUACCGAUGGCGAAGGCAGCCCCCUGGGCCAAUACUGACGCUCAUGCACGAAAGCGUGGGGAGCAAAACAGGAUUAGAUACCCUGGUAGUCCACGCCCUAAACGAUGUCAACUAGUUGUUGGGGAUUCAUUUCCUUAGUAACGUAGCUAACGCGUGAAGUUGACCG
Molecule: ribosomal RNA, 524 nt
Filed under: uncultured bacterium
Lineage: Bacteria
Description: partial 16S ribosomal RNA
Rfam family: Bacterial small subunit ribosomal RNA
Source: RNAcentral